ACGGGGUGCAGCAGGCGCGAAACAUCCGCAAUACACGAAAGUGUGACGGUGUUACCCAAAGUGUUCAAUUUUGGACUGUGGUAGGUGAGUAAUGUUCCCUACUAGAAAGGAGAGGGCAAGGCUGGUGCCAGCCGCCGCGGUAAAACCAGCUCUUCAAGUGGUCGGGAUAAUUAUUGGGCUUAAAGUGUCCGUAGCCGGUUUAGUAAGUUCCUGGUAAAAUCGGGUAGCCUAACUAUCUGUAUGCUAGGAAUACUGCUAUACUAGAGGGCGGGAGAGGUCUGAGGUACUACAGGGGUAGGGGUGAAAUCUUAUAAUCCUUGUAGGACCACCAGUGGCGAAGGCGUCAGACUGGAACGCGCCUGACGGUGAGGGACGAAAGCCAGGGGAGCGAACCGGAUUAGAUACCCGGGUAGUCCUGGCCGUAAACGAUGCGAGCUAGGUGUUGGGAUGGCUACGUGCCAUUUCAGUGCCGCAGGGAAGCCAUUGAGCUCGCCGCCUGGGGAGUACGGCCGCAAGGCUGAAACUUAAAGGAAUUGGCGGGGGAGCAC
This 548-nucleotide ribosomal RNA is filed under the name uncultured archaeon. Its description in RNAcentral is "bacterial SSU rRNA". It matches the Rfam family "Archaeal small subunit ribosomal RNA", at positions 325 to 879 of the family's 1478-position model. The record is from RNAcentral.